GCCUAGUUAGCUUAGUUGGUAGUGCGUCUGCCUUGUAAGCGCUAGGUCGCGGGUUCGAUUCCCGCCCGGGGCU
RNAcentral lists this transfer RNA (73 nucleotides) under Diaphorina citri (Asian citrus psyllid). It matches the Rfam family "tRNA". Rfam says of the family: Transfer RNA (tRNA) molecules are approximately 80 nucleotides in length. Their secondary structure includes four short double-helical elements and three loops (D, anti-codon, and T loops). Lineage: Eukaryota; Metazoa; Arthropoda; Insecta; Hemiptera; Psyllidae. The record is from Rfam by way of RNAcentral.